AAGUAGUGUGACAUGUCCGUUUGGGAUUUACUCUGAUGAUGAAUUAUUUAUUAUUAAAUUGAUUUUGGGUAACGGGGUGUUACAAGAUG
RNAcentral lists this microRNA precursor (89 nucleotides) under Medicago truncatula (barrel medic). RNAcentral describes it as "MIR2617 microRNA precursor family". It matches the Rfam family "MIR2617 microRNA precursor family". Lineage: Eukaryota; Viridiplantae; Streptophyta; Magnoliopsida; Fabales; Fabaceae. The record is from Rfam by way of RNAcentral.